This 531-nucleotide ribosomal RNA is filed under the name Corynebacterium casei. Its description in RNAcentral is "bacterial SSU rRNA". It matches the Rfam family "Bacterial small subunit ribosomal RNA", at positions 102 to 646 of the family's 1533-position model. The record is from RNAcentral. Lineage: Bacteria; Bacillati; Actinomycetota; Actinomycetes; Mycobacteriales; Corynebacteriaceae.
ACGGGUGAGUAACACGUGGGUGAUCUGCCCUGCACUUUGGGAUAAGCUUGGGAAACUGGGUCUAAUACCGAAUAUGACCACUUCUUGGAUGUUGUGGUGGAAAGCUUUUGCGGUGUGGGAUGAGCCUGCGGCCUAUCAGCUUGUUGGUGGGGUAAUGGCCUACCAAGGCGGCGACGGGUAUCCGGCCUGAGAGGGUGUACGGACACAUUGGGACUGAGAUACGGCCCAGACUCCUACGGGAGGCAGCAGUGGGGAAUAUUGCACAAUGGGCGCAAGCCUGAUGCAGCGACGCCGCGUGGGGGAUGAAGGCCUUCGGGUUGUAAACUCCUUUCGCUAUCGACGAAGCCUUCGGGUGACGGUAGGUAGAUAAGAAGCACCGGCUAACUACGUGCCAGCAGCCGCGGUAAUACGUAGGGUGCAAGCGUUGUCCGGAAUUACUGGGCGUAAAGAGCUCGUAGGUGGUUUGUCGCGUCGUCUGUGAAAUCCCGGGGCUUAACUUCGGGCGUGCAGGCGAUACGGGCAUAACUUGAG